AGGCUCGCUGAGAGAAUGUGGAUUGAAAAAAAUGCUCUCCAGGUCUCUUUUUUCCCCUUCUUCAUAACAAGGAUAAGACUUUCCCAACAGUAUGAACGCGGAUGGCCAAGCUCAUGAUCAGCUGAAAUAUUUGAGUGCCUCAGAGAGAAAGCGACGGUGAUGUGUGCUGUAUUUCAGUUUUCACGAUCUACUCGCUACUUCUAGCAUAGGAAUUGAAAACUGUCGCCACAAGAUUAUUUCUGAACUUGAUCAACUGAAGUGUUAAGGCUGUGAGAGGUGGAUGUUUCUCUUCUAGCAAGCAGAACCCUGUCCUUCACUUCCAUGGAGCUGAACGAACAAAGAUCUCUCCACUCCCUGUUUCAACCAUCUCACCCACCAUUUGAUUCCCCAGAUGACUUCUCCCACAGAAGUACACCACCAUUUUAUCAAAACUCAAAAGCAGAGUAACAGAAAUCACCAUUUGUUUCCCUGAAGAAACAUCUUCUGUGCCAGCUCUUCAUCCAGCUUUCGGCAUUCUGUUCUGAAAUGAGAAAUACUUGGUAAUCAGAUUCAAGUGGAAGCUGGUGUUCUGCACUGACAUCUCCUCCUUCAUUUUAGGAAGGUUAAGUACUUCACUGUGUCAUAUUGGAAUUCCUAGCAGAUGAAGAAUCUGCAUGCAUUGCCAUGACAAACUGUCUUGAAAAUCGGCAGCAGGAAAACCAGAACAUAUUUUCUGCUCUGACAUGAGGAAGAAACUUCCCAAACAACUGGGGACAUCCCAUACAGGUAUUUUCUAGUCCAGGACCCAGACUUUGUAGAUAGAUGUCUUGUUGUCAAUUCACAUAAAGCAGCUAAUGCACAGGAACAAAUGCAGAAUCACCUUGCGCAUAAGUGCAUAAUCUCAGUCUGCGAUCAAAAUGUAUAUUUGCAUGUGUAGCCCUAGGUAAGUGCUGGAUAUGAAGAGCUUUCACCAGAAGGAUAAGUUACUCUGCACCAUUUCAAUUUUAGCAAAGAAAUAUGAAGCUUUAAAGGCCUCUGGGUUGACAGGAUGAUGAUGAUGAUUAGGUUUAUGUUAAAUCACUCUCUCCCUCUGGCUUUCUGUGAAUCCUUAGCAGCAAAAGGAACAAAAACAUUCUAUGGUAGAAGAAAUGGGGCAGAACUUCUUUCUUUAUUAAAGAUACUAACUUCUGGUGGGAUGGAAGAGACCAGAGGUGUGAAGUUGUAGUUUAUCCACUCAGCUUCCUUGGCGCAUUUUCAGCUUUUCAUACCACUGACAGAAUCAGUUUUUUGAUUCUUCCGUGACUGAGAACUGAGAUGACCUGUAUGUUUCCAUCAUCUACGUAGAAACAGGCCCAAGAGAGAAUGGACUGUUACCCACACAAAAGUAGUUGAGAGUGAGCAGAAACACUUAGGACAGGCCUUUUACUGGUUCCUCAUAUUCCUUCCCAAACUGAGGCACAAUCUGUUGUUCUUAUGUUUACACAAGAUUCUUUGUCUCCAUCAUUUGUGAUUAUAUAGGAUGUUUUCUGUCAUUCUGAUACGGGAGAAUGUAUUGUUUACAUGCUCCCUGCUAUGGUGUUGUACAUGGCAAGUAAGAUUUCUUGGCAAAAAAACCACCCAGAACUGGGAUAUGUAUUCAGUUCCACUUCAAAUCUGGAACUCUUCUUACUGCACCUUAUUCCAAGCUUGUGAUUUAGAAGAUGUGACUUGCUAGCUUAAAAUAGUAUUUUCAAAUCUGGAUCAAAUAAAGGUAUAUAGGUUCUGUUAAUAGGUUUUGGAAGAUAAUAGCAUGUUUUGGGGGGUGUUUUAGAUUUUAUGGUUUGUUCUGUUUUUCCUUUUAGAAAACUCCUGGAGAGAGCCAGACAGCCUGAAAAUGGCUGAAAAAGGCAGCAAUUGAAAUCCUUCUUAAAUUUUAAUGAUAGAUUGCAAAGGCAACAUUCUGAUAUUUAAAAUGUGGUAACAUUUUAUGGGACCAAGUUCCAUAGCAGAGUAAGGACAAGUGUUGAUGUUGAUCCCCAUCUUCAGAGCAGUCUUAGCUCUGUGUUUAUUUAGACUUGCAUUGUAACAGUAAGAUUUAAUGACAACUUUACCCAUUUUUUGUUUCUAUGAAGAUGAGACAUGUAAGUUAAAAGACACUGUGUAUCAAAAUAAUGCCAACUGUAAUGAGCAGAGAGGUGCACUAAAAUCCUGUGUAAUAUUGUGAUGAGCUGUGCUGCUUUUAUUAGUUUAGUUAAGAGUUACGUUGAUCUUGAUGAGGCAACCACCAGCUUGGUCUGACUUCUGAAAUGAACAUAGGAUUUCUUUGCUGAAUACGGUCUGAAUUUUCUGGAAUUUGAGGCAGGUGCAAAAGCACAUUUCCUUGUAGGGCCUCCUUAUGUUGAAACUGUUGGGAUUUGAUGUAGAUGUCUGUAGAAGCAGGAUCCAUCUCUAAGUGAUGGAAAAUACUGUCAGGAUCCUAGGAUUGUAAGUGGUUGGGAGGUAUCUGGCAUAAGCAACAUCUGAUUUUUUAAAUCUUGGAAUUUCCUUUUCUUCUUCCGCCUGUAGUUGUCCUGAUGUUAGAGCUAGCAGAUGUUUCUUGCAUAGAUUGAUGACAAAAUACUUGCGGGACAAAAAGGUAUUUUUGUUUCUGUGGACAUGUACAAAACCUAAGAAUUUGGCUAACUAGAGAGUAGACGCUUCAACCUCUUUGAGGUUACAGGAGUAACUCUCAAGGUUUUGAAACCCUGCAUUGUAACAAAAAAAAUAGAACUGCUGAUUUUUCCUGACUCCUAUCCAUGACGUUAGUUUUUUCAAGUUUAAUUUCAGAAUGUAAUAUUUUUAGCAGGGGUAAGGAUCUGUGUCUUUCACAGAAGUAAUACUCCAAUAGUGUGUGCCCAGAAGACCCCCACUGCUGUACCUUUCUGGCCAGCACCUUUCUAAAACUGCUGUGUUAGGAAAUGCUGCCUCAGCCUCAUUACUUUGUCUUGCUCUACUUCUUCUCUGUUGGUUGGAAAUCUUCCUGUGUGAAAGAUUACAAAAACAAGGGGCAUGUGCAAUAGAUCAUAUAUAUAUACACAUAUAUAUAUUUUAAUACUUGUGGACAAAAUGAUGUUACAAGUUGUUUGAAAACAACAAAAUCACCAAUGUCUUCCAUUUUGAGAUGUGUAUAGUUCCAUAAGCAUUAGUGCUUUGUAGCAAACUGUAGUGCCAUGUUAGGAUCAGUGCAUGAGCCUAGUAGUAUUUUUGCAAUUUCAGAGUGACAAAUUUAUUAAUAAACAGUGAUUAUAAUGUAAUUAAGAAUAGAAAGGAUACAAUAGAAAUGUCGCAAACAUGGUCUCAACAUGCAGUAUCCUCCCUUUGACAAUGGCAACGCUAUCUUUAGAAAUGAAAUGCAUUCACUUAAUGGGCUUCAUAGAACCACAGUUGACUUUUUGUUUUUAGUCUGUCUGUCCAGCUACAGUAGUAAGCUAGUGUAUGUAAGCAUCCAGAAUUCUCGUCUCCAUCAGUGGGAUUCUUUUCUCUUUAGUCUUUGUUGAAGAUGUUUUCUUCCAUGUGCAGCAUUUUCGAUUUUGUUAUUAUCCAUCCUGUAUUAUACUCAGAAAAGUAUGAGUAUGCUAAGGAGUUUGUAUGCAUUUUGUACACGGCUCUGCUACCUUAAAAUAAUUUACAAAAUCUGUUAAUUAAGUAUUUCUUUUUUUUGUUCAGAUCAGACUAUGUAAUUGUUAUAACUAGUUAAACAUUAUCCCCAUUAUAUAAUAAGUUAAUGGUUGCAAAAUGUUAUCCGCCAAUUAUGCGUAGAAGACUUUUAUCCAUUAUUGCAGGAACAGGGAAAACCUUUUUUUGCUGAAGUCCUACUGAAUCUUUUAAAACCAUCGGUGGAUCCUGCAUUUACAUACAUCUUAAUGUUAAUAAUAAGGAAAGAAUAUAGUAAGGUCAAGGGCUGUUGAAAAACAAUAUUGCAGACUGUAGCUGAAAAACAACAUAGCAGACUGUAUCUGUGCAGCAGGCUGUCUUGAGCCUGUGGAUCAGAGAUUCCCCACUCCUGUAUUAUUGAGAAUUCAAUAUCCUGUAUUUUAGGGAAUUGCCAGUAUUGCUUUCCAGCUCUAAGCUCAAUUGGAAUAAUUUCUUUUUCUCCCUCUGCUUCUUUAGAAAGAGAGUUUAGACCAGGGGAAGUCCAAAUGAUUUAGCACUCAAUGGGCAGCUUGGACUGAUCAAAUAAGAGACUGGCAUGGUUCUUCAGACGUGCAAUGCUCUGUGGAUGUCAUCCUCUGAUUUCCUAGGAAAAAGUCUUUUAUUUGGUGCCAGUGUUGCUCUUCACAUAUUUCUCUCUUUUGCAAGAAAAAAAAUAUUUUUCAACUGAAGAGAGGAUACUGCAUCUUUCUUUUCCUGAGACCUGCCUGUAAAUGGCCGUUAGGGGGAGGGAGGGAACGGGCAGCUUGAUUUUGAUAUGAUGCAUCUCUAAAGUAAUUAAUCAAGAAGCAUGUACUUUGGUGCAAAACCAGUAAUCUGUGCAGAGUUAAUGUGUGUAACGGAAACAAACAAACAAUCCUCUGCAUUGAAUACUUUUCCAAAAAAUUGGACAGGGGGGCCAUUUACAGCAGAGCUCUAGGGGACCUGUGCUGAGAUUUCUGUUCAGUUCUAAAUGGAAGUAGCUGUACCAUUGAAUAACGUAGUUUAGUGCUUGGGAGAAUCAAUUGAAAAAUACCUCUGAAACUGGAAUGCAAAAUAGCACAGUAUGUAGGGGGAAGAAUCCCUGAUGCAAACAAAGCCAUAAGAUGAUUUAAUAAGAAAAUAGAACUUUAGUAGCAAUAACUGUUUUGCAUGUGAUAGUAAAUAACUUGCAUUAGCAAGACUGUACAGUAGAGUAAGUGGGUAAUAACCAAAUAAGUUUGUGGCGCUCUGUGCUGCAGGGAGUUGUGUGUAGAGUCUCUUCCUGAGAAGAUAGGUGAAUUCCUCUUAUGUUCUUCUCCUUGGAGGGAAUUUGGCACUUGAAUAAUUAGUUAAUGAACCUGAUAUAUAAAAACCCCCACUUAGCUUUGUCAGAUGUCUGAAGCACUGUCAAUGAGUGCUGGGGGAAGGGCAGUCAGUUCUUUUUGAAAGGAUAGCUGAAGUUUCUGUAUUUUUUCUUUUUUGUAGUCUAGCACUUACUCUGUUUCUCUGAGAAGAAACCAAACCCUUCCAAAUACAGGACUGUGAAGAGAACCUGAUUCUGAAGUUAGAAGCUUUUAUUGUGGGAAGUAAUUUUUUCUUUGUUUGAAAAGACCAGUCUGAAAUGGUCUAAAAAUAAAAAAAUUAAGCACACUUGACGCUCAAAACAUUUGUGCAUCCCAAGCACAGCUGUACAAUUCUAAAAAUGUUACUUUACAGCAAAAAAUAAUUUCAGCCUUGCUCAACACUGUUUCAGACUGUAAUUGAUUUCUGUUGAUGCCUGAAGUUCUGCAGAGGCAAGUACUGUGAAGCCUCUGGUAACACAAAGGGUUAUUGAUCUACAGCUGUAGCCUCUGCACCCAGCAAAGUAUUUGCUAUCAAAGGGUUACAUAAAAGAGCUGCAGGACUUCUAAAAUGUCCAUAGGUGACAAUAGUUCCAGUGCAGAAAUGUAGUCAAUAGAGACAAUAUGGCCCAACAGAAAAUACUGUAUUCUGAACAGAAUUAUUACAUCAGAGGUUUAGAUCUGGCUGGCUGGAUUUCUUCUAGAAAGCUGAAGUAAUUUGGACUGUAAGUUACAGCUGAAGGGAGGCUUCUAAUGUUCCAAAAUUACGGAGGUGAAGCCCUUUGGUUCUUCAUAAGUUGAUAAUGGGACUGUGAGGGCUGUGAGCAUUUUUACAAAAUGAAGUAACCAAGAUAAGCAUGAGGAUGUCUGAAUUAAAUGUGCGCUAAUUUGUAAUAUGUGUAUGAAAAGCUGGAAGGUUGUAAUCAGCUUAAAUUCCAGCUUUUGAAUUAUUGAUAGAAUUGGAAGCUGGCCAUAGGGGACCUUAAUUUGAUUGUUAUCUGAUUACAUCAGAGAAAUUAUAAAUCUAUUCUAGCCUGUGGUCAGCAAGUACAUUUACACAAUAAUGAAAUAAUAGUAAUGAAAACACGGUUGUGUUCGUACUUCAGAAGUAUGAACUUUGUGGCUAAAUAGAAUUCUUCAAGGGUUUACUUAUUCAGGGGAGGGAGGGUGGUAAAUGAAGACUGGUGUAGCCAGGCGAGCUAUCUGCAUAUUCUUCCUGGUUCAGACUUUUUAUAAUUAUCUGUAUUCUGUACCAGACUAGAAAUUACUAUUCACAGCAACAGAAGGAAUACCUUUGCCUUUCAGCUCUUGUACUGUGGCAUGACUUUUGCUUCAAACCCCUUGAUUUCACUGCUUCUGAAACAAAGUGGAAGUGUGAGAUGCUACUACAUUUCAGUGUGGGAUAUCAAAGGUGUAGUGCCCCGUACUGAGAUGCCGUUCUUUAGCAGGACUAGACCUGGAUAAUACAAGUACAUGGGGUUUUGACACCCUGUUGUGCUGCUGCAGAAGGUCUAGCCGGUACUUAUCUUGGGAAUUGCACCUUCAGGAACUGCACCUUCUGCAACUGAGGAUAAUUGUCAAGUUUAGGACAAAAAGAAAGUCUUUCAAGCACUGACACUUUACACAAGGAUUACAUUGUCAAGAGCUGGCAGUGUGGUUUUUGGGCAGAGAGGGCAAAGAUACGGAAGAGAAGAAAAGUUUUUGAUGGAUAACCAAUCUUAGAAAUAACUGCUUCCUGCAUCCCUAGGAAACUGCCUGGUCUUCCUCCAAAACUAAUAAUCCUGCUUGCUGUUCAGGUACAGAGCUGCGUAAUGGUAGUUCCAGUUGGAUUCCAUUGGGUUUCUUUUGCAGAAUGAUCCAGCAUUUUGCCCCCUGUAGCACUUUGGCUGGCACACAAAAGCCAGCAGCUGAACCAGGUUGUCUCAUUUAAUGGAGUAGAACUCCAGCCAUGGAUUCUCAUGUCUGUUCCCUUUCAGUCUGUUCUACGCUUCCUUCCAAGUUCUAGAUAGUGUUGGUGUUCAUGAUAUAGCAGAGCGUAUUUCUGGCUCUGAGCCUAUGUACCAGGUUAUAAUAUAGACAGAUUCUCUAAGGUUUUAAAACAUUUAAGGUUAAAGAUAAAAGGUGACUUACCGUUAAAACUCACUGUUUAGUGUGUCCUAUGUAAAUCCUGGCUGCUGUUCCACUUCCCCUCCAGAUGAGUGUGUUUGCAGGUCAAAUAAAAAGCAGCUAGUUUGUAAUGCCUCAGGCAUGGAGGAACUGAAGGAAAGCGGCACAGACCCACAAACCAAAUCUUAGAGCUAGUAUUCUAGUUAUGCAUGAUUCAAAAUGUCUAGUGUAACAUAGUUAUUACCAGUAAAUUGAGAUAUGCAUUUAUACAUAAUGAAGCAAUAGGAAUUAAUAUACCAAUAGCUUGAACUUCCUGCUUUGAUUCUCAAAUUUUUGGGUUUUUUUUCUUUCUUUUUUUUUUUUUCUUUUCUUUUUUUAGAGAAUGUGCUGCCUCUGUAGAGAAAGAGGCAGAAUGUAUAGAUAAGGACAGAAGCAUGGCACCAAAACUGUAAAUUAGGAACCAGGAUCAGCAGAACUCGCCUUUAUAACCUCUUGUCUGGUUCAUCUUAGUGCCCUGAGCAUGUGAAAAGCAGGGCAUGAACUAAGCAUGUUUAGGGGCGAGAUGGGGUUUCUCACCUGCUGCAGCUGUAGCAAGGAAAAGGGUGCAGAGUUUCUUACUUACAAGGUGCAGGGGAGAGCAACUAGUUGGGGGGGAAAAAGAAAACAAACACAAAACACACAAAAAUCACGUAAUGAAAACCACAGACUCAAAUUGACUGUGGCAUUUGCCAGACAGCAGGUAAUACGCUUGUGUGUGGUGAGAAAAAUUAUUUGGAGAAGACUGAAUUUAAUAAGCACAGUACAUAUAUUUCAGGUGUUGAAUAGCUUUUUAAGACAGUAUUUUCAGGUAACUCUCUAGCCACAUAGGCAGCUGUACUGAAGCAUACUGGUACUAGCCAGCAAUAAUGGCACCUGCAGGAAUGAACCUGAAAAUACUGGUAAUCUUGUAUAUUUUUUAAGUUCUUUAAAGAGAUUUUUAAAAACAGAAAAUGAGAUUUGAUCGCUGAAGGUCUUUUAUCUUCUGCAACACAGGUUGCAAUAGUCUUUUUUCUUUAUUUCACUUAUUACAUAAAAGGGAAAUUGGGUGCCAUCUUUCUGUAAACUUUUAGUGUGUUCUCUGUAAUAUUUCCCAAGUCUUUUAGUGAAUAAUGCAGUGAAUUUUUGCUGGCAGUUUGAAAAUAACAGAAUAUGUGGCAAAGCCUGCGUCACUAAUACUUUCCAAGCUUAAACUUGUAUUCAAGGAUGUUGAAUACUAGCUUGUUACUGCAGAAUUCCAUACUUCUACCUUAGCUUAACUUUGUAGGUGGGCUUAACUUGUGCAGAACACUUCUCCAUGUACAGAGGCUCCAUCCUCUUCCUUAAAUAGACAGAGGAAUUGUCUUGGAGGAAGAAAUUGUGUGUCAAGUUAACUCCUGUUCAUACUUCAUAGCAAACCAUCCAUAAAGCACCAUAACUUGGGUUUAGAAUGGAGGUUGCAUUUUUGUCAUGAAUGUUCUUUCCAGACAUACAAGAACUGCCAAAUGAAGAUAGGAAUAUUGUAAAAGAAGAUAACUAUUUUAUGGUAUCAGAAGUUAGACUAAAUGAAAUCCUUUGAGCCAACUUCUUCAAGCAAGAAGGGAAUUUGUAAAACAAGUUUAGCCAAACGGUUAACCAUGGCCACCUAACUCUCAGUGGGUAUUUUUUAGAACACUUCACAUAGUUUUAAACCCUGUUAAAUAUAUUUUCCUUUGUGUGAUGGUUAAGCAGUUAUGUCCUUUGUUAAUGCUUCUUCCCUUCAGUGUAAAACCUGGGGAAUGAGCUACUUCAGGAUGUCAAAAAAUAACAGCAAAGGAGAAGUAUUAGUUACGGAUUCUUUAAAAUUAUCUUAGUACUUGAAAACAGGCUAGAAAAUACUUCUUGUACUGAAUUUCUGAUGGCGUGCUCACAUGGAUUAGUGGAUGAAAUUAUUGGUGUUACUAGAACUAUGUACUCCCAUUGCACACGUUUUACAUGGUAACAGUGAAAGAAUGUCUCCCUGCAAAUUCUGAUGUUUUUUCCAAAAGGCAGCUUGCUUUGAUAUCUAUGCAUCUUUGAGGAUUUCAAGAUAAGAUUUUAUUCUUUUGACGCUGUAAAGAGGAACUGUUUAAAAAUGAACUUGGAAACUCUGCACCUGUAUACAAAUUUUUUUAGCAAUAAAGCAGCACAGGCUGAGAAUGCACUAAAA
This 9258-nucleotide long non-coding RNA is filed under the name Columba livia (rock pigeon). RNAcentral's name for it is "partial uncharacterized LOC102092219". The record is from RNAcentral. Lineage: Eukaryota; Metazoa; Chordata; Aves; Columbiformes; Columbidae.